CCUUAUUCAUUGUCCUUUAAAUUUGGUAGAAAAACGUUGGUUAAAUCAAAACAGAUUCAUUUUUAUGUGUUUUUGGUUGGAUCUGAACAUGAACCUGUCGUUGUAUAAAGAAGCAACUGAAUUUGUCAAAGCCAAAACGCCAGGCUAAAAACGUCUUAUUCCAAAGCUUUUUUGCUACCAUAUAUUCAUGAGAAAAAAACAUGUAAAUUUACUGAAACUGCUUUUUGUGUGUUUCUUGCCGGUUUUCUCGAGUUUUCGUACUCGAUCGUAUUUUAUAUCUUUCAACAUUUCAAUUUGUGUCAGCCUCGCUUUAAAAAUACACAUGAACUGCACUGAUCUCAAAUUAGUUCGCAAGCAACAUUGGAAUUCUAAUGAAUUUCAGUUUUACAUCUGAUAAAAAAUAAACACGUUAUUUACCGGCAGCGUCAGUCCGGAUGAGAAAAACUGUGCCCUCGGUCUUGAAAACGUCCCUCAACCUUCGGGCUCAGGCCGUUUUCAAGGCCUCGGGCACAGUUUUUCUCAUCCGGACUUCGCACCCGG
Molecule: non-coding RNA, 540 nt
Organism: Paramuricea clavata
Lineage: Eukaryota; Metazoa; Cnidaria; Anthozoa; Malacalcyonacea; Plexauridae
Source: the annotation of a GenBank genome assembly